This 756-nucleotide ribosomal RNA is filed under the name uncultured bacterium. RNAcentral's name for it is "bacterial SSU rRNA". It matches the Rfam family "Bacterial small subunit ribosomal RNA", at positions 8 to 796 of the family's 1533-position model. The record is from RNAcentral.
AGAGUUUGAUCAUGGCUCAGAAUCAACGCUGGCGGCGUGCCUAACACAUGCAAGUCGAACGAGAAAGGGGAGCAAUCCCUGAGUAAAGUGGCGACCGGGUGAGUAACACGUGACUAACCUACCUUCGAGUGGGGGAUAACAUCGGGAAACCGAUGCUAAUACCGCAUAACAUCGCAAGAUCAAAGCAGCAAUGCGCUGGAAGAGGGGGUCGCGGCUGAUUAGCUAGUUGGCGGGGUAAUGGCCCACCAAGGCGAAGAUCGGUAUCCGGCCUGAGAGGGCGCACGGACACACUGGAACUGAAACACGGUCCAGACUCCUACGGGAGGCAGCAGUGGGGAAUUUUGCGCAAUGGGGGAAACCCUGACGCAGCAACGCCGCGUGGAGGAUGAAGUCCCUUGGGACGUAAACUCCUUUCGACCAAGACGAUAAUGACGGUACUGGUGGAAGAAGCACCGGCUAACUCUGUGCCAGCAGCCGCGGUAAUACAGAGGGUGCAAGCGUUGUUCGGAAUUAUUGGGCGUAAAGGGCGCGUAGGCGGCGCGGUAAGUCACCUGUGAAAUCUCCGGGCUCAACUCGGAGCCUGCAGGCGAAACUGCCGUGCUGGAGUAUGGGAGAGGUGCGUGGAAUUCCCGGUGUAGCGGUGAAAUGCGUAGAUAUCGGGAGGAACACCUGUGGCGAAAGCGGCGCACUGGACCAUAACUGACGCUGAUGCGCGAAAGCUAGGGGAGCAAACAGGAUUAGAUACCCUAGUAGUCC